Molecule: ribosomal RNA, 454 nt
Filed under: uncultured bacterium
Lineage: Bacteria
Description: partial 16S ribosomal RNA
Rfam family: Bacterial small subunit ribosomal RNA
Source: RNAcentral
GAUGAACGCUGACAGAAUGCUUAACACAUGCAAGUCAACUUGAACUUCGGUUUGGGUGGCGGACGGGUGAGUAACGCGUAAAGAACUUGCCUCACAGAUAGGGACAACAUUUGGAAACGAAUGCUAAUACCUGAUAUUAUGAUUUUAGGGCAUCCUAGGAUUAUGAAAGCUAUAUGCGCUGUGAGAGAGCUUUGCGUCCCAUUAGCUAGUUGGAGAGGUAACGGCUCACCAAGGCGAUGAUGGGUAGCCGGCCUGAGAGGGUGAUCGGCCACAAGGGGACUGAGACACGGCCCUUACUCCUACGGGAGGCAGCAGUGGGGAAUAUUGGACAAUGGACCAAGAGUCUGAACCAGCAAUUCUGUGUGCACGAUGAAGUUUUUCGGAAUGUAAAGUGCUUUCAGUUGGGAAGAAAAAAAUGACGGUACCAACAGAAGAAGUGACGGCUAAAUACGUG